RNAcentral lists this ribosomal RNA (301 nucleotides) under uncultured bacterium. Its description in RNAcentral is "partial 16S ribosomal RNA". It matches the Rfam family "Bacterial small subunit ribosomal RNA", at positions 509 to 807 of the family's 1533-position model. The record is from RNAcentral.
CAGCCGCCGCGGGAAUACGAAGGUCCCAAGCGUUGUUCGGAAUCACUGGGCGUAAAGGGAGCGUAGGCGGCGCGGUAAGUCAGAUGUGAAAUCCCGGGGCUCAACCCCGGAACUGCAUCCGAUACUGCCAUGCUUGAGGGUUGGAGAGGUAGCUGGAAUUCUCGGUGUAGCAGUGAAAUGCGUGGAUAUCGAGAGGAACACUCGUGGCGAAGGCGAGCUACUGGACAACAUCCGACGCUGAGGCUCGAAGGCUAGGGUAGCGAAAGGGAUUAGAUACCCCUGUAGUCCCUGUCUCUUAUAC